This 437-nucleotide ribosomal RNA is filed under the name uncultured bacterium. RNAcentral's name for it is "partial 16S ribosomal RNA". It matches the Rfam family "Bacterial small subunit ribosomal RNA", at positions 30 to 507 of the family's 1533-position model. The record is from RNAcentral.
AGCGAACGCUGGCGGCAGGCUUAACACAUGCAAGUCGAGCGGGCAUCCUUGUGGUGUCAGCGGCAGACGGGUGAGUAACGCGUGGGAACGUGCCCUUCGGUUCGGAAUAACUCAGGGAAACUUGAGCUAAUACCGGAUACGUGCGAGAGCAGAAAGGUUUAUCUGCCGAAGGAUCGGCCCGCGUCUGAUUAGCUAGUUGGUGAGGUUAUGGCUCACCAAAGCGACGAUCAGUAGCUGGUCUGAGAGGAUGGUCCGCCACACUGGGGCGGAGACACGGCCCGGAACUCUUCGGGAGGGAGGAAGGGGGGAUAAUGGAACAAGGGGGGAACCCUGAACCCGCCCGGGCGGGAGAGGUGUUGAGGCCUUAAGGGUUGAAAACCUGUUUAUCCCGGGCGGAUAUGACGGUACCCGAAGAAUAAGCCCCGGCUAACUUCGUG